RNAcentral lists this non-coding RNA (36 nucleotides) under unclassified sequences. RNAcentral describes it as "DUF805b RNA". It matches the Rfam family "DUF805b RNA". From Rfam's summary of the family: Bacteroidetes, Chlorobi (1 example), Proteobacteria. The record is from RNAcentral.
AAAGCGGAAUCCGAAAAAGCUUGAAAAGAGUAGGAG